UUAUUUUAUAAAUAUUUUUGUUAUUUUAUAGUUACUAGUACUUGUUUUGACUAUCUGUGUAUAUAAUGUCAAUCGUUACAUUCGAAAUACAUCUUGAAUUGGAUCUCUUUCUUCACUUGUUGUUCUGUCAUAACGCAGAUACAAUUUGGGAUAGCUGUAACAUGUGGACAAUAUAUUUAAGGAAAAUAUAUAGAUCGUUCGUCAAUAAUAUUUUUAUAAAGACUUCUAACGUCCGUCAUUGUAAAAACGUAUUAGUGAAUAUGAAAAAAUUAGCAAAUUAUUUAAAACAAUUGUUGAUACAGAACUAUUAUAAAAACCUAUUAUAAAAGAUUAUAUAUUAUUGUAUAAUAUUCUAUUAUUACAAGUAAAACGCAUCACAAAAGAGCACAACUCACUGUCAGUAUUAACUGGAAAGAAUACGAAAGCAAACUCUAUCCACUUGCGCCCUCUGUGUAAAGAACAUUCUAAAAAGAUAGAAAAGCACAGCGCCUCGGUAGCGCAGUAGGCAGCGCGAGAACAUUUUUUAUUUCGUCAUCAGCGUUUUCAAUUCUUGCAGAGGAAGAUGGACAAAAGUUACAUCAAUGUCAUCUAUGAUUUAAUAGAGAAUGAAAAUCGAUGAAAAUAACUUCGUCGUAGCGGAAAAAAAUCAACAUAGCGUUUCUUCCGCAAGAAAGAUGACGCAGAGAAAGGGAUAGUAGAUAUGGAGUGGAUAUUUCGAAGGAAAUAGAGAAAGAAGUGUUCGAGUUAGGCAGGAGCUAUUUGGUGAUUCAAAACGAUAUUUAAGUUAUGAUAUCGUACGCGUUAGAGUGGACAGCCGUGUACGUAUGUGACGUUUCGAAAAAGUGCAGCCGCCGUCGAAAGGAACGCUGCCGUGGAUGCCGUGGAUGGAGCUGGUGGUGGUGGUGGCGGAGGUGCAUGAUUUGUCACUUGUGUUUGUGCAUUGUAAGACGGACAAUAGGCGUCUAUGCUACCAUGAUGAAGACCGACGCCUCGUACAAGGAGCUCUUUUUCUACCGUGGCUUGAUGACGAAGUUGUUCGAGUCGUAACUGAUUCUGUCUCUUCCACUUCGUUCUGGAACAAGUAAGCAAGUUGAGCAUGUGUAAAAGCCGUUCGUCUUCUUCGUGGCUUUCUUCCACUAGGUGGACCACUAGGAGUUCCGCAAGAUUUACCAGACGUUGUCGGACCUGGUGGAGGCGAGAGAACAGGUGGUGGACUUCCUAGUCGAGUGCAAGGACUACUGCCAGGAUCGAUUGUAUCUUCGGAAUCCGAAUGAACGGCCGAAUCAUCUUCGGAAUCUUCUAUUCGACUCAACGGUGAAAGCCUAUUAUCGAGACAAUGCCGAACGAAUCGAAAUCGAUUUAUUAUCCUCCCUAGUUCAUGGUAAACGAUCUCAAUCAAGAUCCUGUGGUGUCGUACAACGAUUGACCAAUAAAACUGGGAAACGCUGUGGGACAGAGUAACCGACGGCAAAAAUUUGUGGACUAACGAAUCCUAACGAGUCACUUCGCACCUAAAACCAUCUGUAGGAUCACCCUUAACAGGGUGACACCCUGUAGGGUGGAUCGUCGUUCCUCGGACCCCGUAUAGUGGAUAAAAAUAAUAGAAGAGUCCUUGGGGGGUAUCUUUUAACGAGAAUCCCGACGGUAGUGCACGCGACCGACUCGUGUUUCGUAUAUAAAACACUAAUAAUCUAUCAAAAUUCAUUUCUUUUUUAUUGAUUGUUAAAUCUUUAAUAUGUCUUCGAUCAUUCGAGAAAUCAAUAUCACCUACCUUGAACUCUAUCCGCCAGAACGUCGCCCAAAAGAUCUCUUAUCAAAAAGGACUUGUGUUCUUGCAUCAUCGUCACUGAUGAAUCGAUGCAAACCAGUUUUAAAAACUAAACAAGAUCACUCGAGUAUAAGAAUUGUUUACUUUCCGUAUCCGCGUUAUCACCGAUUAUUCUAAGGAGCCGACUUUCAUGCUAUCGUACGGACGCUCGGCAUCGUUCUGCGUCGACCGCGAGCACGGGGAUGACCGGAUGUAUCUGGCCGACGUUCCACUGUCGUCAUCGUCCUAGACAUUCUUGUCGUCUUCGUCGUCGUAGCCACGUUGUGGGUGAAGGCGAGUCGUUGUAGGAGGCGGAGGCUUACUCGAUGAAGUUUGGAUACGAGGGUGAGGGGUACUACAGCAUUCAUCGUCUCUCCAACUAUAUCUUUCCCAAGCCCUGCCACCCCUUCGAAUUAAUCCGCCCGUUUAUUUUGAACGGGCAGCCUAAUGCCCGCGCGAUUUCGCAGCCAUUUUGGGGGUGGAGGCGCCUUCCGCAAGCCCCGCGCAUUCUCUUAAAAACAGUUCGCAUGGCUCUUGCCAUUGGUCGGUAGUACGGACGAGUGAGGGACGAAAAGUGUCUUCCGAGAGAUGCUAUUGGGCGGAUAAACGCACCCUGCGCGAGAGAAGGUUGGUUCUCUCCCUCCAUCAUCUUUUAUCCCUUCUAUACCUAUCGUUUCGCUUUCCUUUUGUAUGCAUUCAGACGAGAACACAAGGUAUAUAAUAGGGCUCGCACGAGUUGGUAAGGUAAGGACUACCAAACGUAGAGCCGCGUCGACUAACGGAGGUGGACUGAUAGGGGAGGAAGUAAUUGGCAAGCGAUUACCGUAGAAGGAGAGGAGCAAAUUGGAUGUGAAACGUUUCUGUAGCUUUAUUAUGAUGCAGUCUUGUUCUAUCUGAAUUUCAAACUUAUCUCCUGACUUUCUCUCUUUUUACCGUCGCUCAACUCUUUCAAAUUUAAAGAGAUAGUCACUACGCGAGGAAGAAAUCAAUAUUUCAUCUAUGUCAAUUCAUAAUUUAAGAAGAAGAGAUUAUCACCAAUCAUAAAAAUGGUAUAAAAUCAUAUCAUCUUAUAAAUUUUUUUUAUUAUACACGUAACCGUAUCGAUAACUCGAGUUGAAUAUUUAACGUUUUCUGUUUUAGAAUAACUCAAAUUGCGAUGAUAUCGUUACGAAGUUGAUUUAUUUGCAUAGACCUCGAGAAAGGAUAACGUUAGGAGUGCCAAAUGUAGGAGAGAUAGAUGUGCACCAUAUUUACAUAAAUACAUCCCUCGCUGUUUGGAAUUUCCUACCUUUCGUAUCUCCCCUUGCCCUUUGGAGGGGUAGUUUGUGAGCGUAAAUAUGCAUGAUGCAUGCACUCACAAAUCCUCAAACCGCCUACUUUCUCAGCCGCCUCCAUGCUUCCACUAUUUCUCUCGCGGCCCUGGACUCAACAGUACCCUGUUAGUCUAUUCACUGCACUACACUACUUAACUUUUGUAAGCACCUACACAUAGUACAUAUUUACAUAGAUGUACUCUCGUAUAUGUAUUUUAUAUUUUACGAAAUCGCAUUCAGUAGAAACGAUAAAAUACGAAAAUAUAACGAUAAAAUCAACAACGCGGAUAUACAUAGAUAGAUAUAUAUCAAAUUUAUUGAUUAUUUAACGUCGUAUUGACUUACUCUACUUGUCUGUUAUCAUCACAUAUAUACAUUUUUAUUAAAAAUUCACACUUACAAAAGAUCUUUCUUUCUGAAAUCAAAUCUUCCUCAAAAAUAUUUGUUUCAAUUAUUCUUUAUACGACAUUGUUAUACCAUAUCGACACCUGUAAAGUCCUCUUUAUGAUGUCGAGCAGUGAAUGCGAUGGAUCGGAACGCCUUUCUGAAUUCAUUAGGAUUAACAUAUGCAGGAGAUUAAUUCAAGGGGCGGCAAAGCGGCUAGGCGUCUUCUUACCGGGCGCAGAAAAGGGCGCCGAGAACACUGAAAAGAGGGGAAUAAAUGAAUGAUAGAAGACGGAAUGAGAGUUGAGUAACGUCAAAAAUAAAAAAACAAAGGGCAUCUCUGUUAUCGUUGAAAAGCUAUAUCGUUUAUCGUCAAUGUGUUAUUUAGAAUAAUUUACAGAUUAAUUAUUGAAUUAAUGUGGGAUAUUAUUUUCAUUAAAAUAAAUAAUCAAUGAUAGUGUUUUUCAAAGGAAUAAUAUUUAAUUUUUU
Long non-coding RNA from Vespa mandarinia (Asian giant hornet), 3993 nucleotides. The record is from RefSeq and is a predicted model, not a curated record. Lineage: Eukaryota; Metazoa; Arthropoda; Insecta; Hymenoptera; Vespidae.